GACGAAGGGGGCUAGCGUUGUUCGGAAUUACUGGGCGUAAAGGGCUCGUAGGCGGCCAACUAAGUCAGACGUGAAAUCCCUCGGCUUAACCGGGGAACUGCGUCUGAUACUGGUUGGCUUGAAUCCGGGAGAGGGAUGUGGAAUUCCAGGUGUAGCGGUGAAAUGCGUAGAUAUCUGGAGGAACACCGGUGGCGAAGGCGGCAUCCUGGACCGGUAUUGACGCUGAGGAGCGAAAGCCAGGGGAGCAAACGGG
RNAcentral lists this ribosomal RNA (253 nucleotides) under uncultured bacterium. Its description in RNAcentral is "partial 16S ribosomal RNA". It matches the Rfam family "Bacterial small subunit ribosomal RNA", at positions 524 to 776 of the family's 1533-position model. The record is from RNAcentral.